RNAcentral lists this ribosomal RNA (758 nucleotides) under uncultured Alteromonas sp. RNAcentral's name for it is "bacterial SSU rRNA". It matches the Rfam family "Bacterial small subunit ribosomal RNA", at positions 9 to 762 of the family's 1533-position model. The record is from RNAcentral. Lineage: Bacteria; Pseudomonadati; Pseudomonadota; Gammaproteobacteria; Alteromonadales; Alteromonadaceae.
GAGUUUGAUCCUGGCUCAGAUUGAACGCUGGCGGCAGGCCUAACACAUGCAAGUCGAACGGUAACAGAACUAGCUUGCUAGUUGCUGACGAGUGGCGGACGGGUGAGUAAUACUUAGGGAUCUGCCUCUGUGUGGGGGAUAACUAUUGGAAACGAUAGCUAAUACCGCAUAACGUCUACGGACCAAAGAGGGCUUCGGCUCUCGCGCAGAGAGGAACCUAAGCGAGAUUAGCUUGUUGGUGAGGUAAAGGCUCACCAAGGCGACGAUCUCUAGCUGUUCUGAGAGGAAGAUCAGCCACACUGGAACUGAGACACGGUCCAGACUCCUACGGGAGGCAGCAGUGGGGAAUAUUGCACAAUGGGGGCAACCCUGAUGCAGCCAUGCCGCGUGUGUGAAGAAGGCCUUCGGGUUGUAAAGCACUUUCAGUUGUGAGGAAAGGUUAGUAGUUAAUACCUGCUAGCUGUGACGUUAACAACAGAAGAAGCACCGGCUAACUCCGUGCCAGCAGCCGCGGUAAUACGGAGGGUGCGAGCGUUAAUCGGAAUUACUGGGCGUAAAGCGCACGCAGGCGGUCUGUUAAGCUAGAUGUGAAAGCCCCGCGCUCAACGUGGGAGGGUCAUUUAGAACUGGCAGACUAAAAGUCUUGGAGAGGGGAGUGGAAUUCCAGGUGUAGCGGUGAAAUGCGUAGAGAUCUGGANGGAACAUCAAUGGCGAAGGCAACUCCCUGGCCNAAGACUGACGCUCAUGUGCGAAAGUGU